This is a long non-coding RNA of Piliocolobus tephrosceles (Ugandan red Colobus), 2127 nucleotides long. NCBI's taxonomy places the organism in Eukaryota, Metazoa, Chordata, Mammalia, Primates, Cercopithecidae. The record is from Ensembl.
AUGUUUAAUGAUGAACAGUUCAGUAUUAUGAGUGAUAUAUUUUACGAUGAGAACAAUAAGCAAAAUGCUAACAUAUAUAAUGAUGUUCAAGAUACUGAUAGUGCUAGUAGUGGUAAUAAUAAUGUUAACGACAAUAAUAAAUAUGAUGUGGAUAAAUCUGAUGUGGAUAUAUCUGAUGUGGAUAUAUCUGAUGUGGAUAGAACUUAUGUGGAUAUAUCUGAUAUGGAUAGAACUUAUGUGGAUAGAACUAAUGUGGAUAGAACUAAUGUGGAUAGAACUAAUGUGAAUAAUAAUGUUGACGAUGUUGUCAUUUUGCCCGAAACUGGAGAAAAAAUAUUAGGAUAUGUAGAACUAGAACUUACCUUAAAUCCCUAUUUAAAAUUUAGUGACUCCCAUUAUUUAGUAAGUGAAGUGUUGUAUAAAAAAAGUUUUUAUGAUGAAGACAAUAGUACAUAUGAUAUUUUUUCAUAUAAUGAUUAUAACCAGGAUAGAUAUUUUUUAACUGAACAACAUUUUUUUAUUAACGAUAUAACUGGAAAUGUCGACAAUAAUAAUACGGAGGAGGAAGGUAAGGGUGGUAAUAUAAUAAAUAAGGAUGCAAUAGCUAAUAAUAUAAUAAAUAAUAACAUGGCAAAUGACCGUAGAAAUAAUAACAAUAGAUAUAAAAAUAUUAACCGAAAAAAUAUAAUUAAGAAUAACAAAAGACCUAUUAGAAAUAAUGGUCCAAAUCGUAAUGAAAAUGGUGAUAAUAAUGAAGGUGGAAGAGGUAAUAGAAACAAUGAUAAUAGAAACAAUGAUAAUAGAAACAAUGAUAAUAGAAACAAUGAGAAUAGAAACAAUGAGAAUAGAAGAGAUAAUAGAAACAAUAAUAAUAGAAACAAUAAUAAUAGAAACAAUAAUAAUAGAAACAAUGAUGAUAGAAACAAUGAUAAUGGAGAUUACGAGCAGAAUGUCCAAAAUGGUAGAUAUAAUGGUGAAGAUAAUGCUAGGGAUAAUGGUAGAGAAGAUGCUAGAGAUAAUGGUAGAGAAAAUGUUGAAAAUAUUGUUCAAAAUGUUCAAAAUGUUCAAAAUGUUAUUCAAAAUGCUAACGUAGAGAAUAACUUAAAUGCUAAUCCAAACGGUUACCAUAUUGCAAACUUGAUUAAUAACGACGUCCUUGAAGAUAACCUUAGAAUGAACUUGCGAAACCAAAUAAAUAAUAACAAUGUUAGUGAUAAAAAUAAUAAAAAGCACAAUAAAAAAAACGACAGCAAUAAAAAAAAUGACAGAAAUGUUAAAAACGACUACGAGAAUCUUAAAAGCGCAGAAAAUAAUAGUGCGCCAACAAAUGAUCAAAGUAACACAUCAUAUAAUUUAAAAAAAUAUAAAACUGAAUCAGAGAUAAUAAAAUAUUUAAAUGAUAUAUUAAUAAAAGAUCAGAGCAUUUUUUGUAUUAUAUUAGUAAAAAUAAAUGAAGAAAAUGCAAAAAGAAAUAUAAUAAAUAAUAUUAUUAAAUUGGUAUCUAUGCCCAUUUAUUCAGAUUCUUUAUCUAAGUUUAAAUAUGAUGAACAAAAAAUUGUUCAUGAAGAUAUUAUUCAAUUUUUAGGAGAAUCAUACAAUGUUACCAAUAGUAAAUUAAAACGAAGAACUUUUUCAUUUGGUUAUAAAUUAAACAAACGAGAUUUAAAAUAUAUAGAAAAAUUACUAAUAGAUGAAUAUAAACUAGUUCAAAUUGUUUUCCAUAAUUCUAGUGUUAUACCUUUAGAAAAACGAUCAGGUUAUUAUACUUCUGCUGAAUUGUUUAGUUUAUUUGAAAGUAGAAUACACUACUAUGAAAAAUGGAAAGGGAAAAUUGUUUUUAUUAAAAAAAUGAAUCAGGAAGAUAUAGUGGCAACAAAUCAAUCUCAAUUAUUAAAAACAGAAGUAAAAACAGAAAAACGUUGGAUUAUAGUUUGCUAUACUUUAAUACCCAUUGUUAUUAUUAUCUUGUUAUUUUUUCUUUACAUUUUUUAUGUAGGAGGUAAAUUUAAAUUAACCACCUUCAUACAUAAUAUAACAAAAAAAAAAGUAAAAAAAAACAAAGUAGUAAAAACAGUUAUGAUUCUUAUAAUACCAAAUAUAAAACUUACAAAUACACUUCAGCCAUAA